CCCUGGGACUAAGCCUCCACAUUAAGCUUCCUGGCAUUCUUUCUGAGUUUGGCCUGCUGGAGCUGGCCGAUCCUGUGUGCAUUUCUGAUCAACCAUCAAUAUUUCAAGGCCAAGAAUUUGGAGAUAGAGGCUCUUUCUGAGGGCAACAUUAUAAGGCUUCAAAAAUAGCACAGUGAGCCAAGAGAAACUGCAAAGACACCGCUGUGGGAUGGUGAUUUGGAUAUAAAAUUCUCUGAGCCAGGUGACAUGUUUAUGACUAACUCACUUCAGACUUACUCAUUUAGUAUUGGCACUAUUUCAAAUAAAAAAAAUUCUCUUUU
This is a long non-coding RNA of Homo sapiens (human), 320 nucleotides long. NCBI's taxonomy places the organism in Eukaryota, Metazoa, Chordata, Mammalia, Primates, Hominidae. The record is from Ensembl.